UACGUAGGGUGCAAGCGUUGUUCGGAAUUACUGGGCGUAAAGGGCGCGUAGGCGGUUCGUCAAGUCCUGUGUGAAAUCCCCCGGCUCAACUGGGGAACUGCACAGGAAACUAGCGGGCUUGAGUUCGGGAGAGGGAAGCGGAAUUCCGGGUGUAGCGGUGAAAUGCGUAGAUAUCCGGAGGAACACCGGUGGCGAAGGCGGCUUCCUGGACCGACACUGACGCUGAGGCGCGAAAGCUAGGGGAGCAAACGGG
This 253-nucleotide ribosomal RNA is filed under the name uncultured bacterium. Its description in RNAcentral is "partial 16S ribosomal RNA". It matches the Rfam family "Bacterial small subunit ribosomal RNA", at positions 524 to 776 of the family's 1533-position model. The record is from RNAcentral.